RNAcentral lists this long non-coding RNA (265 nucleotides) under Theobroma cacao (cacao). Its description in RNAcentral is "long non-coding RNA (TCAC_LNC000148)". Lineage: Eukaryota; Viridiplantae; Streptophyta; Magnoliopsida; Malvales; Malvaceae. The record is from RNAcentral.
AAAAUAAUCUAAAGCCGAGUAAUAUGAGACAAUUAAAAUAAUUCAUCCAAACCCAUAUAAAUAAUUGAAUUUCAUCUAAUUACUCAACAUGGCUUAUGCACUUUUCAAAAACUUGGCCCUUGCCAAAAAUCCAUUCUCGAGGAUACCCCGCGAAGGCAUCUUACCGAGACAGCCAAGGCUGUUUAUUGUCACACACUCGAACACAUUUCACCUCUGACAACACAGCCGUUCCUCGGCAUUGGCUGAGUCCCAGUUUCACGUGGUG